Long non-coding RNA from Takifugu rubripes (torafugu), 2184 nucleotides. NCBI's taxonomy places the organism in Eukaryota, Metazoa, Chordata, Actinopteri, Tetraodontiformes, Tetraodontidae. The record is from Ensembl.
UAUAAAUCCUACAUGUAAUACCUUUUUAAACAAGCGACAAGCAGAGAAAAGCCUGUCAAUAACCAUAUUAUUAUUAAGAGAUUACGAUUAUGAUGCUUCAAAAUAUAUUAACCAUUCAGAAUAAUACAAUUCAACAGUGCGGGCUACGGUACAUUAGAAGAUUCUCCGAAAAAAACGAAAUGAGUGGCUUCCCAAAGUGGCCACUAGAUGGAAGCAAUGCGCUGUAGGGUCGUCAAACUAACUUGAAGCAUGAAGAAGAAGCUUAAAACGAAGAAGAAGAAUUAGUUAUAAGCAGCAGAACUUGUGGAGGACAUCGGUGCACCGAUGUUUGCUAGAACUCCUAUUAAGUUGAUUUUUUAGUUAUUCACCAGGUUGUACAUUAGUGUAUGCAGGUUGUGCGAUCCGGGAUUAGAAGAAUGACUUCAUCUUCUCCACAUCAUGUCAUCUGGGCGUCUGAUGGCUUGGUGGCCUACCUUCAUCCCUGUCCCUGGACCCCAGGGUCCGUCAUCCUGGAGAGCAGCACCUCUGGCAGCCUGGGAGGCAGCAUCUUCCACUUGAAGAAGCAGGAGUUUUUAUCUUGGCUGUUGGGGGCCAGAGCCGUCGCAGAGCUUCUGUGUGACAGACUAGCAGUUCGUAGGUGUGCCCUGGUCAGCAGACCUCACAGAGACUCACCAGCUCAGAUUCGUAUUCUCCCAUUACAUGGUUUGGAUUCGGAGUGGCGGCCUCACUUGGCAGGAGAUGAGGAGCAUAAUGCCUGUGACCCAGGGUACUGCACCUCCAAGACCGCUCCGAGGUGGAGUGAGUCUCGCCUGAAUGAGAUCCAGGCCAAGAUUCGAGCCAAGCUCCCAUUUCCAGAUGCUCCACACGACCUGACUUUUCUUGGGGAUGAUCCAGCUCAUCCAGGAUUGUUUUCACGCAUCGUACGUGGAGAAGAGCAGCAGUGGCGUGUGUGGGAAGAUGAGGCUCAUGUUGCCUUUCUCACUCCUUUUCCCAACACACCUGGCUUCACAGUACUAGUGCCACGGCAACCUUUGACCUCUGAUAUAUUCAGGUUAGAAAAAGGUGACUAUGAGAGGAUGGUGCUGGCCUCAUGGGAGGUAUCAAGGCUACUUGAAGCUGGGUUAGGUUCCUGUGGUACGGGUCUUAUUUUUGAAGGUUUUGAGAUUGACUACGCGCAUGCCAAACUGUUACCCCUCUUCCCACCUUCAUCACCAGAGAUUGGAGUGGGUGACACUAGAGCAUCUAUUCCUCAGUGUCACGCCAUUUACCCAGGUUAUGUGACAUCAGAGGAUGGACCCAAAGCCAGCCCGGAGAGUUUGAAAGAGCUACUCAUAAAAAUUACUCAGACUUGAUGCUGUUGUUUGUAACUGUGGCAGAUUUCAUUUAAUGUACUUCAGAACACUCUGCAGUGUGAAAUUAAGCAUUUUUUUAAAUGCACAUUGCCUGGAGGAUGUUCUAAGAAUUCAAACAUUCCAAAAUAAAUUGUGAGGCUACAAUUGUCAGAUUAUUUAUUUUACCAGUUGGAUCAGUUGAUCAUGUGAUAUUGGCCAACACACUAGUUUAGCUUUAAAAAUGAUCGAGAAGAAAUGCUGAAUUUCCAAUUUUGCUCAAGUUGCCACGUCUUGUGUCUUCUCGGUGAAUCUGCACCUACACCCAUCCAUGAACUCCAUCUUGGUGAGGUAGAGGAGUGGCUCAAUGCUGCAGCUCAGAUCCAUGAUUGAGAAGACACUGGUGCGGAUCUGGCAGUUGAACUCCACAAAUGUGUAGUAUGACGCAAAGGGCAUCAGAGCCACUGGCGGGAGGUAGUUGACCACGAUUAUGGCCAGGAUGGUGAGCACCAUCUUGAAAGCCUUCUGCUUUACUGGGUGCCUCGCACCAUUUCCUGCCACUGUACGGCGAAGGACCCAGAUGAUGGAAAUGUUGCAGAAAACCAUGAUUGUGAAGGUGAAUAGGAUGGCGCCACUAAAAACGCUGUUGACGCUCUUGGAUCCAAGGAUGCACUUGCUGACAGCGUAAGCCAGGAUGAGCCCCCAGACCACAACACAAAUGCCAGUACGAAUCCGAUUGUCUCGGAUGCCAGAGAACAGUACCGGGUAGACCACUGCUGUGUAGCGAUCCAAGCAGAUACACACCUGUGACAGCAGAUCAGUAAAUACAUUAACUUUUGUUUUGCCCGUGUAGGAA